GACGAACGCUGGCGGCGUGCUUAACACAUGCAAGUCGAACGGAAAGGCCCUGCUUUUGUGGGGUGCUCGAGUGGCGAACGGGUGAGUAACACGUGAGUAACCUGCCCUUGACUUUGGGAUAACUUCAGGAAACUGGGGCUAAUACCGGAUAGGAGCUCCUGCUGCAUGGUGGGGGUUGGAAAGUUUCGGCGGUUGGGGAUGGACUCGCGGCUUAUCAGCUUGUUGGUGGGGUAGUGGCUUACCAAGGCUUUGACGGGUAGCCGGCCUGAGAGGGUGAACGGCCACAUUGGGACCGAGAUACGGCCCAGACUCCUACGGGAGGCAGCAGUGGGGAAUAUUGCACAAUGGGCGGAAGCCUGAUGCAGCAACGCCGCGUGCGGGAUGACGGCCUUCGGGUUGUAAACCGCUUUCGCCUGUGACGAAGCGUGAGUGACGGUAAUGGGUAAAGAAGCACCGGCUAACUACGUG
Molecule: ribosomal RNA, 468 nt
Filed under: uncultured bacterium
Lineage: Bacteria
Description: partial 16S ribosomal RNA
Rfam family: Bacterial small subunit ribosomal RNA
Source: RNAcentral